AUGUGGUGUCGCUCAGACGCCCGACUGCGGCAUGCUUGUUGUUUAUCGAUCUUUUAUAAGCCCUUUAUCUGGUGUCGCUCAGACGCCCGACUGCGGCAUGCUUGUUGUUUAUUGAUCUUUUAUAAGCCCUUUAUGUGGUGUCGCUCAGACGCCCGACUGCGGCAUGGUUACUCUUGCAUUUUCCUCUCGAGGAGUCAUUCAGACACUCGCUUGGCCCUCAAUAUUUUACUUUGGGAUUUCGGGAGGACUACCGCCCGACUUCUCUUUGUUUCCCAUGCAUCAUUAUCUCUAUGCCUGAUUGCACUUGUUAAUCUGUUCUCAUGCAUCGUGUUUACAAUUGUUAUAUCUUAUGUUCGAACUAUCUUGCGAGUACUUUCAUAG
This 381-nucleotide ribosomal RNA is filed under the name Triticum aestivum (bread wheat). RNAcentral's name for it is "partial small subunit ribosomal RNA". Lineage: Eukaryota; Viridiplantae; Streptophyta; Magnoliopsida; Poales; Poaceae. The record is from RNAcentral.